This 848-nucleotide ribosomal RNA is filed under the name Helotiales sp. RNAcentral's name for it is "partial large subunit ribosomal RNA". It matches the Rfam family "Eukaryotic large subunit ribosomal RNA", at positions 73 to 938 of the family's 3401-position model. The record is from RNAcentral. Lineage: Eukaryota; Fungi; Ascomycota; Leotiomycetes; Helotiales.
GAUUACCUCAGUAACGGCGAGUGAAGCGGUAACAGCUCAAAUUUGAAAGCUAGCUCUUUUAGGGUUCGCAUUGUAAUUUGUAGAAGAUGCUUCGGGUGUGGCCCCGGUCUAAGUUCCUUGGAACAGGACGUCAUAGAGGGUGAGAAUCCCGUAUGUGACUGGGUGCUUUCGCUCAUGUGAAGCUCUUUCGACGAGUCGAGUUGUUUGGGAAUGCAGCUCAAAAUGGGUGGUAAAUUUCAUCUAAAGCUAAAUAUUGGCCAGAGACCGAUAGCGCACAAGUAGAGUGAUCGAAAGAUGAAAAGCACUUUGGAAAGAGAGUUAAACAGUACGUGAAAUUGUUGAAAGGGAAGCGCUUGCAACCAGACUUGCGCGCUGAUGAUCAUCCGGGCUUCUGCCCGGUGCACUCGUCUGCGCUCAGGCCAGCAUCGGUUUCGGUGGUGGGAUAAAGGCCUUGGGAAUGUAGCUUCUUUCGGGGAGUGUUAUAGCCCUCGGUGCAAUGCCGCCUACCGGGACCGAGGACCGCGCUUCGGCUAGGAUGCUGGCGUAAUGGUUGUAAGCGACCCGUCUUGAAACACGGACCAAGGAGUCUAACAUCUAUGCGAGUGUUUGGGUGUCAAACCCAUACGCGUAAUGAAAGUGAACGGAGGUGAGAACCCUUAAGGGUGCAUCAUCGACCGAUCCUGAUGUCUUCGGAUGGAUUUGAGUAAGAGCAUAGCUGUUGGGACCCGAAAGAUGGUGAACUAUGCGUGAAUAGGGUGAAGCCAGAGGAAACUCUGGUGGAGGCUCGCAGCGGUUCUGACGUGCAAAUCGAUCGUCAAAUUUGCGUAUAGGGGCGAAAGACUAAUCGA